GAGUGCCCACGAGCCGGCCCAGCGGCUGCGGACAGACCUGGUCUGAGGAUGGCUACGGAGCAGGGAACAAAGGUCUCCUGGAAGAAGCUGGCGAGCCUUGAAGCAAGCUGCUGCUUUCUGCUGUUUCAGUUCUCCCACCAGCCAGGGCGUCAUCAUCAUCUUCUCUGCUGCCGUAAAGUGACUAGGCUGCCUCUGUCAUGCAUCCUAUGCCCAAGCAGCAGAGCCGAGUGACCAUGGACCAAAGUCUCUGAGACCAGGAGCCAAAAUAAACCUUUCUUCUUCAUA
Molecule: long non-coding RNA, 285 nt
Organism: Psammomys obesus (fat sand rat)
Lineage: Eukaryota; Metazoa; Chordata; Mammalia; Rodentia; Muridae
Exons: 3
Source: RefSeq, a predicted model, not a curated record